UACAUUUCUGUUUAGUAUUUUCAUCCAUAAUUUUUUCAGCUUGCACAAACUAGCCUUCGGCAGAGGUUUUGUUCAACGCACCGCCUGUUUAUGCUCUACCUGGUUAGAUAAAUUCACUCUCCUUCUCAGCCCCGAGAUGUGUUUAUUUUCUAUUGCGCAGACGAUAGGCAGAAUAUAUUCUGCAGUAAAAUAAAAAACGCAUCCAUUUUUGCUAAAAAAACAGGAGAUAUUUCAGACGCGUCUAACGUUUUUCCGUCCGUUUCAAUUUUUCUUCCAUUUUCAGCAGCGAAAUCCAAUUUUAAGUGGAUUUUCAAUUGAAUGUUUAUUGCGUGUGAACAGUUUCCAACUACAUUUUUUGUUCAACAAACAGGAAACAAGGACGUAAAAAAUUUUGCUUCAUCAUGGAUUACAUUCAUCAGUCAGAAGAAAAAACACCUUUUAAUCUCUUGAAAAAAGUCCUCAAAUUACCACUGAUGAUGCUGCACGCAAACAAAUCGACACUUCUGCUCCUAAUCGCAUUCUCCCUGACAACAAUAAUUUACUUCUCGAAGCCUAUUGUGAAUUCAAGAAAUCAUCAGGUGCCGAAAAUUAGUUAUCAGGGGGAGAAAGGCAAAAUUCUGUUGUUGGAUAUUGAAGCAGAGGAAAGCGACUACUUGUCAAAAACUGGAACAAAAAUUAAACAAGAUGACUUCUUGCAUCAAUUAAAAAGUCUCGACUGGACACACUUGUCGGCCCAAUCGUUCGUCGACUUUCUGAUCCCAUUUUCUAUCAAAGAACCCGCAGCUACAAUCAACGAAUCCUGCAAACCCGAACCCCUUCCUCCUGUCAAUAAACACCUGUGUCACGUUCCAAAAACCCAAAACAUAUUCACAGGGGAGUUGAAAGAGCUUCCUGGAAAAGUUGUUCACGCAAUCAAAUUAGGCUAUGAUGUGGAUGUCCUUGAAAUCCACUUGAAUGAACUUUAUGACGUAAUCGAUUACUUCAUUAUUACCGAAUCGCUUGAGAGUCACUACCAACAGACCAAAAAACCUCUAAUUUGGGAGCUUGUCCAACUCCAACCUCGUUUCAAAAAAUUCAGAGACAAAGUAAUUCAUUUCGUUCUUGAUGAUGCUGAUAUUGUUAUGCCAACACCAGAAGAGGGAAUUUUUGGAUCAGAGAGAUUGCAAGAAAAACUACGGUGGGAAAAGUUGAAAAAAUGGUCCGACAGACUUUUAUUGCUUUCAGAUGAUGACGUAAUUGGGUUUGGCGAUGCCGACGAGAUAACGAACCGACUAAACAUACAUAGAUUGCGUUAUUGUCGGCUAAAAUCUUCGGUUUUUGACAUUGGAAGUUGGUUUGCAUUUGGUGAAUUGAAACACGCAUUUGCUUCUGACUUUCCAGUUAUAGGACAUCCAUACACAAUAGGAAAUCCGACCUAUUGGAAAUUCGGAAAAGCGAAAAACUUUCAUCAAAGUUAUCCAACAUAUCAAAGAGGAAACUCUGGAGGCUAUUUGCUUGGAGGGGCUCAUCUAACCCAUUACUCAUACAUACCCUAUCUGCUUAUCAAAUCUUUAACGGCAACUGAAGCCGACAAAUCAUUUGGAAAAAUUAGAUCAAUAGUUGAGAAAAUUAGCAGCAACGAUAUCAAUACCAACUCUAAAAGUGUACUUAAUUUAAUCGUCAGGAAAUUGGAUGGAUUUAUGAAAAUGGUACCGAGUACGCGUUUUGUAGAGGUUCAGAAGUUGGUGAAACGUGAAUCAAAUUACGCAGAGGUUAUGAUAGUUCCUUGGUUUCUUAAAUGCAAUCCAGAAAGAUAUCCCAGCUGGUAUGGCCAUUAUGACGACUUGCGUUUACUUUAUAGCUAGAGACAAUCAAUUUUGAU
Symsagittifera roscoffensis is the source of this 1861-nucleotide long non-coding RNA. RefSeq lists it as uncharacterized. The record is from RefSeq and is a predicted model, not a curated record. The transcript has 3 exons. Lineage: Eukaryota; Metazoa; Xenacoelomorpha; Acoela; Convolutidae.